This is a long non-coding RNA of Lycium barbarum (goji berry), 796 nucleotides long. RefSeq lists it as uncharacterized. The record is from RefSeq and is a predicted model, not a curated record. The transcript has 3 exons. Lineage: Eukaryota; Viridiplantae; Streptophyta; Magnoliopsida; Solanales; Solanaceae.
UUCAUUUAUACUACGUGUCUUUUAAGUGGAAUAGGAACAACCACGUAUUUUAUGAAUAUAUUGCUGGUUGUUUUGGAUAUUCUGCUCCUCUUUCAAUUUUUGGUCAACAUCUUCAUCUUUUUGGUCUCCAUUUUUUUUUUUCAUUUCUUUGCUUCUUCAAGUUCUCUUAGAAAAUUCUCAAUUUCAUGGUUGUUGAAAAAAUUACUCGUAAGUCAAAGCCUGGAUUUUGGUAUUUCACGCCAUGAAAGCUCCGGCAUAGAAAGCUCCCGAAUGCCGCCACCGGUGGUGACAAGAAGAAGAAGUCAAUUGAGACUUCUAGAAGGUGCUGAAGCAAGUUUACCCCGACAUCGGUAUCUCCAGCAAAGCCAUGGGUUAUUGAUAAAUUUCAACUUAAAAUCCCUUUAUUCUAAAGUAAAUAUUUGUUUCUCUGAUUCUAAUUUUUGAAUUUUAGGGUCCUGUUUCUUGAGUUUUGCGGGAUAUGUUGUCAAUAAAGUAAAGGAAACAAGAGUGAGAGAUUUCAGAGAAAUAUAAACCAAAGUAAUGGUGGUGGUGGUGGCGAUCAUCGCAAUCGCUUAAACCAAAGUUAUGGUGGUGGUGGCGGUCAUCGCAAUCGCUUACAACAUUCAGGCAGUAUUGCGUUGUUUUCGCUUUUCUAAUUCUCAUUCUGAUGGGCAUCUUAUGAUUUUCAUAUGUGGGUAUAUUUCUUGUGAAAACUCAAGGCUACUAAGUAUUGUUAGUUCUGAUUUGAAAUUGGAUAUUGUCCUACAUAUUUGCUAUAAAAAUGUGUUCCUUGCUA